Molecule: non-coding RNA, 3010 nt
Organism: Poecilia reticulata (guppy)
Lineage: Eukaryota; Metazoa; Chordata; Actinopteri; Cyprinodontiformes; Poeciliidae
Source: RefSeq, a predicted model, not a curated record
AACACCGUGUCACCAGCGAGAUGUUUUCAGGACAUCCGGCGCGCAGACAGAACCAAGCCCGACCCGCAGGAAGGUGUUAGUUCACCCAUCAGCUCCUGUCAGUCCGAGAAGGCGUGAACCCGCCUCCUGUCGGGGGACGCCACAAAUCGCAGAGACACUGAGAAGUUGUUGGGUUUUCCAUCCAGAGGCAGAGACCGCAUGCGGCKUUCUGCUUCCCAGGCAGACAGAGUGAAAACAUCGGGGCCACUGAACGCUCUCCACAUGUUUGACUAUUACGAUGACGUCAUCUACAGAUCAGCAUCCAAAGAUUUGCUCCAUAAACUUCAUAUUAUUUAGAUUAUCAUUAAAAUCUCUUUUGGUUUUUCUCUCUGUGUUUGACGCUCAAACUGCAAACCUGAUUCUGUUAACAUUUUCUAAAAUCUUCUUCUGCGUCCGGCUUGUUGUCCUUUCAGUUUACUGGAAGGAAAUACAGAAAAAUCCACAAACUGGACAUCUUCAGUAUUCUGUUCUUCUAAAUGCUGAAAUUCAUUUACUGUUUUCAUGUCUAAAUUGUGUCAUUUUGCCUUUUGCCAGGCUACAGAUGCGAUAAUAUAUUUGUUCUUAGCUUGUUAUUUUGUCCGAUUAAAUAAAGAUAGAAUUAAAAAAAUCUUUCUAACCAAUCAAAGCUCAUUUACUGAAUAAUUCUGCCUGAUAUAGAUGUAGAUUGUGAACAUCACAGGGUUCAGCGUCUUUCCCACCAACACUUUGACACGGAGAAGCUGGAAUUAAGCCGACAGCCUUCCAGUCAGGAUGCUGCUGCUCUCUCUGAAACAACCAUCAUGGCUUCCUCCCUGCUUCACGUCACAGAGAAACAGUUUACACACAUCCUAAUCACCGUCAUGGUGAUGAAUCACAAUGUUUAGAGUCAGGAUUUAGUCAGCAGACUUCCAGUAUUUUCUCAUUUUAGUGCAGCAAAACUGACGGGAUAUUUUUUCAUUUUCUUUUAAAACAGAAAUAACCUCAGUUUAGUUACUGAAAGAAGGUGAAAGAAGUUUUACUUAUUCUUCGCCUUGUAGAUGCAUUUGUGUCUCUUUAAUCAGAUAAUUAAUUUAUUCAUCUAUUCUUUCCCCCCCACACACGAUGAUCAGAGCAUCACUUGAGGGAAAACAGAAGAUUUCCACCUUUUUCCUGGUUGUGAUAAAACAUGUUUCACCGAAAAGUUGCUGCGUUUUUCUCUGGAUCAGGGUUGAUGUUUCCUCCGGGAGUCGCCGUUUUCUCCCUGAUUCACCUGAAACUCCCCCCCAGUCUGCGCAUCAGUCCAGAAAAGAGCAUCUCCUGAUGAAUGAGGGUCAUUAUGAGUUGGGGAGCAUGGGGAGCUAAUUACUGGUCUCAGAUCAGCGGCGUUCUGUCGGGAUGGACUUUGAUGAAUAUACACACAUAAUCUGAGCUUCAGGGAGGUUUUAAAGCUUUUGAGGAAAUCAUCUACUGGUUUAAUGAUCUCACAUUUCAAACUGUGUUAUUUUUAAAGGAAAAGGACAGGAGUAUGACAAACAACGUAAGCAGGUUUGCCUUUUUUAUCGCGGAAGCUGAUCAUGUUGGCAUGUUUUAAAACAAGCAAGUCUUUAACAAAUAACACAAUUUAUCCUUCUAGCAGCCACUAUUCUGCCUUUAUUUUCAUGAAAAAGUCAUUUCAGUUCUGGAGGAAGAAUCCUGGCCAAGCGAUCCUUUCCUCAAACAGAUUUUAUCCUUUGUCUAGAAGCACAAAGAACCAAGUUUUUCUGCAGAAAACUUACGGCUGGAGCCAAAAUAACGUUUGUGCAGAAAUCAAUUUUUAUAUAUCUAUAUAUGCUGCGAAAAUUAUGAACAUUUGUCUCCUCGGGGUGCCGAACAUGCUAUGAUCGAAUCUGUAAACUCUGACAGAAGCAGGCUCAGGGUGGGCGGCCGUCUGCCGCCGAACAAAAGAGAAACCGAGGAGCAAAACGSCGAACGGCGAGCUGCAGCAGACACGAUGUCGGACCAGAAACCAGCACCGGUUAAACAGACAAGCAGUUAGAAACGCAGGCCUGAACAAGUGGGAAAUGUUGAAAUCCUUUCUGCCAUGAAUUUAUCUGAAAACAAUAAAAGCUUUACUGUUUCUCAAAGAGAUGAUCCAGAAGUGUCCAAACUUUUUACAAUUUGGACCUUUUGUUGAAAUGGAAAGGCACAAAAAUUGGUAAGUAAAUUUGAUAUGUUUUUGGUUUCCCUGGACAUAUUUUAAUAAAACGGACAAAGUUGUAUGAUUGGUAAGGAGAUGGGAUUUCUAAAUCAUGUUUAUCCAAAAACGUUUCCUAAAUUUUUCAGGUAGAUUUUUUUUUUUACUAUUUUCAUACAUGAAAAAACAACAAAUCUUGUGUUUGAGGAACAAAACCUGAAUAUGUCAAGUCAAUCUUUUUCAAAACUGCUUGCCGUAUUUAGCCAAUUAAUGCCCAGGUCUGAAUUURAGUAAAAAUCCUUGAAAUUUAUGAUCUGAUUUCCAAUGAAAUCAAACUAAAAUGUGAAUAAUAAUACUUUGGUUUGUAUGCAGAGUUUCUUCUUAUGAAGAUUGUAAUUUGUCAGCUGGAGGACCAUCUUUGUAUAAAUCUUGAGUUGUUGUCGGGGGCCAUAAAUAGUCUUUCCAAGGGCCACUAACGGCCCCUGAGACGCAGUUUGAAGACCCCUGAGCUAAAGUGAAGUUCUUUUGUUACAACCGGUGCUCUUUUGUCUGCAGCUUUAUGCAUUACUCUCUUUAUUUUCUUCUUUUUACAGUUAAAAAACAGAGAAUAAGUUUUGUUUUAAACAGUUCAAAUCUAAUAAAUAACUAUAUUAAACUUCUAACCUGUAUUUCUUAUGAUGUUACAGAAUGGAGGCUGCCUCUGGCUUCAGGUCCUCUUUACACUGCAAAAGCACAAAAUCUCACCAGUUUUAAAAAUGGCUUCUCGCAGCAGAGGGAUGUAGGCGGAUGAAACAACACAGGAAGACGCAGCAAACAGCAGAGUGUGAAGAGCCUGCAAGA